CUCGUCCUCAACCAGCAGCGGACAGCACCUAGAAAAAUGGGUAUGGCAGCGGCUUUGUGGCCCGUUUUGGCCGGCUUCCCGACCCCGGAAGCUAGGCCCGCCUUGGAGUGAAUCGAUCCCCUCGGCGUCCCCGUCGAUUUGAGCCGCUCGGAUCGCUAAUCGGGUUCCUAGAUGACGAUCGUGGAGGACCGAAAGUCCUGAAGUUCGGAAGGUGGAGGCUGAAGAUUCGGCAAAUGGGUCUGACUAGUGGAUGUUAAGACAGUCCCCUUUUUGAUAAGCCAUUAAUUUUGUAAACAGCCUAAGUUUGUAAUUAACCAGUUUGUCUAUAAA
Eucalyptus grandis is the source of this 330-nucleotide long non-coding RNA. RefSeq lists it as uncharacterized. The transcript is spliced from 2 exons. NCBI's taxonomy places the organism in Eukaryota, Viridiplantae, Streptophyta, Magnoliopsida, Myrtales, Myrtaceae. The record is from RefSeq and is a predicted model, not a curated record.